GCUGGCUAUGGUGGCAUGUACCUGGUAUCCCAGCUACUCAGGAGGCUGAGGCAGGAGGAUCACUUGAGCCCAGGAGUUAGAGACCAGCCUGGGCAACAUAGCUGUCUUUU
This 110-nucleotide small RNA is filed under the name Marmota monax (woodchuck). The record is from RNAcentral. Lineage: Eukaryota; Metazoa; Chordata; Mammalia; Rodentia; Sciuridae.